UGCACUCACUACUGUAAGUCGCUCUGGAUAAGAGCGUCUGUUAAAUGAAGUAAA
Molecule: non-coding RNA, 54 nt
Organism: Salmo salar (Atlantic salmon)
Lineage: Eukaryota; Metazoa; Chordata; Actinopteri; Salmoniformes; Salmonidae
Source: Rfam